GGGGGCUUCCACCCUCAGUGCUGAAGUUAACACAUUAAGCACUCCGCCUGGGGAGUACGACCGCAAGGUUGAAACUCAAAGGAAUUGACGGGGGCCCGCACAAGCAGUGGAGCAUGUGGUUUAAUUCGAAGCAACGCGAAGAACCUUACCAGGUCUUGACAUCCUCUGCCACUCCUAGAGAUAGGACGUUCCCCUUCGGGGGACAGAGUGACAGGUGGUGCAUGGUUGUCGUCAGCUCGUGUCGUGAGAUGUUGGGUUAAGUCCCGCAACGAGCGCAACCCUUGAUCUUAGUUGCCAGCAUUAGGUUGGGCACUCUAAGGUGACUGCCGGUGACAAACCGGAGGAAGGUGGGGACGACGUCAAAUCAUCAUGCCCCUUAUGACCUGGGCUACACACGUGCUACAAUGGACGGUACAAAGGGCAGCAACACCGCGAGGUGAAGCGAAUCCCAUAAAGCCGUUCUCAGUUCGGAUUGUAGGCUGCAACUCGCCUACAUGAAGCCGGAAUUGCUAGUAAUCGCGGAUCAGCAUGCCGCGGUGAAUACGUUCCCGGGCCUUGUACACACCGCCCGUCACACCACGAGAGUUUGUAACACCCGAAGUCGGUGAGGUAACCUUUUGGAGCCAGCCGCCGAAGGUGGGACAAAUGAUUGGGGUGAAGUCGUAACAAGGUAA
This 674-nucleotide ribosomal RNA is filed under the name uncultured Bacillus sp. RNAcentral's name for it is "bacterial SSU rRNA". It matches the Rfam family "Bacterial small subunit ribosomal RNA", at positions 826 to 1499 of the family's 1533-position model. The record is from RNAcentral. Lineage: Bacteria; Bacillati; Bacillota; Bacilli; Caryophanales; Bacillaceae.